GUGCCCAUGUGUGAGGGGAUUUGCCAAUCCGCUCGCCGCGCCUCACCCCAAGUCCCCAGGCCCCAACCCCGCCGCACAAACCCUAGACUCCCCAAGCCCACAGGCCACAGCUUCCCAUUCCUCUCUCCUCCGUCCUCCCUAUGACCACGCCGCUGGGAGGAAGCGGUCGUUCGUGGCUCCAUACCGCUGUCGGGGUGCCGUGCAAGAGGUCAGGGGCCGCCACCACCGUGAGCCAGGACGAAGCGGACGCCCUUUGCGAGCCUCCGGGCAGGAAGCCGACGGCGAGUACGCCAUUAACAAGCCGCCAAGAGGACCCACCGGCCAGUCCCCUGUCACCGAGCAAGGGCCGCCCGUUGCGUCGUCGUGGGAGGAGGCGCACAGAGGAGCAGCGGAGGAGGAGAUGAGGACACGCCCCCGGACUCCCUAUUUCCUUUUGGUCGCACCUUCCCUGAGGCGUCUCUCUCUCUUGGGCAGCUUCCAUACAAGAUUUGGAUGAGGAAAAGGAGACCCGAUGCGGGGCAACGACGAGCGCCGGUGAGCUAGCUGGACAGGUGCCGGGCCCAUGGGCGCGAUUGGGGAGCUGCACACACAUCCAUCGACGGCGAGCACAUCGAACGGCCACACAUCAAGAGGGCAAGGGAAGCUUGCGCUACUUUUUGGAAGUUAAAGGUUGGGCUUGCGCAUUGAGUGACGGCGUUGGGACUGGAGGAGCACAAGGAUCCUCUUCUUUUCCAGCUCUUCGGGGUUGUUACGGCCAUGCACCAAUAUAUAAAUAAAUCUACUUAAGCUGUCUGAGCCGCAAGAAUGGACAUUUAAAUAACUCCAGAACAUUGGGUACAUGGAGUUCAGAUUUGCAGAAGAGCAACCUCCAGAUGAUUAUGUAGUAGAUCUUGCAGAAAUAUGUUAUUCUGAAAAGCACAUAAUUUCUGGAGAAUAUCUUUAUGAGGGAUGGGAGCCAAAGUUAGUCUAGCAUCUUCUCAUUGUUGGCUACAAAUUAUACACGAUACACUGGAAACACAUAUAUUAUGUUCAUUAAGUCAAAGGUUUCCAAGUAUGCCACUCUCUUGGUGGUGGUACUGGAUCAGGCAUGGGUACACUUUUGGUAUCAAAGAUCAGGGAGGAGUACCCUGGCGCAUGAUGCUAACAUUCUCUGUUUUCCCUCACCGGAAGUAUCUGAUAUGUGGUUGAACCUUACAAUGCCACUCUUUCGGUCCAUCAGUUGGUUGAGAAUGCAGAUGAGUGCAUGGUUCUUGAGAAUGAGGCCCUUUAUGACAUCUGUUUCAGGACUCUCAAGCUGACCACUCCGAGUUGUAAGCGAAAUCUGUACCUUCUUAUUGUUAUUUUCUACAGAUGAAUAUGAGCAUGAUGUCAAGUGGAUCUUCAUAAUUCUGAAUAUUUGUAACUGCAUGUUAUUAUAUGCUUGAUAACACAAAUAUUAAUGCAUACUUUCUAUUCACAACCGUAAAAUUGGAAAAUGAUGUAGUUCAUUGGCUUGCUUUUUCUAUAAUGUCUGUCCAAACUAUUCCUGUAGUGCAGUUUUGGUAUUCUUAGACAUGAUCUGAAACUCUAAAUGGAUUCUUGUGCUUGAGUUAUUUGCUCAGGGCUUUCAUUUAUAUGCACUUGUAUUUCGGUUUCAAUGUGAUGCAUGCUUAUUGCCAAAGGACCUCCCAUUGCUUAUAUCCUACCAGUAUAGCCAUGCUCCCCGUCACAUUAUCUGUUGAAAGUGCCUCCCCAUGGUGUUGUUCGUCAAAAGCUUUCUUCCUCUUUCUUUCGAAAUUACAGGAGUUGUUGCGCAAAAGUACAUGGUUUUUCCUUCAAGAUGUGUAGUUUUGUAAUAUACAAUAGUUCUGACCUGAACUCUGCUGACCAAAAAAAUAUAUACCUCAUUACUCUAUGAUGCACUAACACUUUUUUAGAGUCUGAGGUUGCUUUGGCCUAAUGAAGGGUAUGCAGAGCAAUGCCUCUGCCUUAGUUCAAGAGAGCAAGGCAGGCAACAAGGGGGAGGGUCUGGCCGAAGUCAAGAAACAAGAGAACUUGACACCGACCUAGAGAAACUCUAUGUAGCAGACCUUCGCCGGAGAGAUGGCGGAACUGCAAUUGUCAAGUGCCUCCGGUGUACACGCUUUGUUGUCUUGUUUAUCCUUCCAUGUGGAAAUUUGGCUUGUCAGAUUUGCAUCGACUGUGGAAACCUCCUGGUGCACUAUCCAGUUGUAGUUCCCUUUCAUGUAAUUGUCUUCCCCCCAAGUAAAUGUAUAACUAUGAUCUCA
Triticum urartu is the source of this 2267-nucleotide non-coding RNA. The record is from RefSeq and is a predicted model, not a curated record. Lineage: Eukaryota; Viridiplantae; Streptophyta; Magnoliopsida; Poales; Poaceae.